UAAAAGUUUGAUUCUUGCUUUAGUUUUUGUUUUAAAAUUAUAUGCACAUGUAUAUUUUAGUGGGAUUAAGGUAUGAGUAUUUAAGAUAUUUAUAUUAAAGUAAAAUUUAUGAAAAGGUCGCAGUGUGGAGUUUUAAACGAUUGAAUGUAGGUUUGAUUUAGUGAAUUUUAAAAGACUUGAUGAAAUUUUGUGCCAGCAGUCGCGGUUAGACUUAGAAGUCAAAUAAAGAUGUUUCGGUUAAAGUUAAUAAUUACGACAUUUAGAGAUUAAUUGGAAUUUGGUUAAAUAAAAGGUGGAAUUGAUCUAUUUAAAAUAAAUUGAAGUUAAUUUUUAAAUUAUAAGAGGCUUGAAAAAUUAAGGUAUAAAAUAGGAUUAGAUACCCUGCUAUACUUAAAAGAAAUAAACUGACUUGAAUAUUAAUAGUUAUAGGCUUUAAAUUCAAAGAAUUUGGCGGUAUUUUAGUCUUGUUAGAGGAACCUGUUCUGUAAAUGAUACUACACGAAGGAUCUUACUUACUUUUGUUUUUCAGUUUGUAUACCGUCAUUAUUAGAUAACCUUUAUUGGGGGAGUUGUUGAGAUAUAAUAAGUUUAAAUAUAUUAGAUCAAGGUGCAGCUAAUAGGUGAGAAGAAAUGGGUUACAAUGAAAUUUAUUUAAACGUAUUGAUAGUUGAAUAUAUUAUCAUGAAGGAGGAUUUAAUUGUAAUGUAAAUUUAAUAAGUUAAUAUGAUAUGAGAACUAAAAUAUGUACAUAUCGCCCGUCGCUUCCAUUUAAGGUGGAAUAAGUCGUAACAUAGUAGGUGUACUGGAAGGUGCACCUAGAAUUAU
Molecule: non-coding RNA, 825 nt
Filed under: Cherax cairnsensis
Lineage: Eukaryota; Metazoa; Arthropoda; Malacostraca; Decapoda; Parastacidae
Source: RNAcentral